AGCAGCGCUCGCCGCUCCCCCACCGCGGCCCCGCAGUGACCCCAGCCCGGGGCUGCCGAGAGGCAGCAAAAUGCUGGGUUUAGAAGACUGCGAGCCAGUUUCCUGCAUACUACUAUAAUUAAUUUGCGUGCGGAGAUCAAAGAUCCGAGGGUGAAGGAAAUAAUUGAUUCUGCCAGAAAACGCUUCCCUGGCGCAGCCCACGGCAGGUAAGCUGCUGCGUGGAACUAUUUUUGACGGAACAAAAGCCUGAGCAAACACCUGACGUCAGGGAGCAGCGUUCCCGGGGGAG
This 289-nucleotide long non-coding RNA is filed under the name Zonotrichia albicollis (white-throated sparrow). Its description in RNAcentral is "lncRNA (ENSZALG00000004842.1)". Lineage: Eukaryota; Metazoa; Chordata; Aves; Passeriformes; Passerellidae. The record is from RNAcentral.